AAUUCAAGUUUACAUGGAAAGACAACUCUCACUCUCACUAGUUUAGUUGCAAGAACACGACACACACAAAAAAAAAAUGAAGAAACAGCUGCUGGUUUCUGCUCUUUGUUUUUUAGUUUUGUUUAAUUUGGAAAUAACUGAAAGUGCUCCCGUGGAAGGCGAGAAUCAGAUAAAAAGUGCUAGUGAUGCUAAGUCUGCAUUUGGAGUACCAUUUGAUGAGAUCGUAGUUGAUACGCAACUUUAUGUCAAAAGAAAGAGUGCUGAUAGACAAUCAAGAAAUAAAAAUGAUGUUAGAUCUUCUGCUAGACCCGUAGAAGCAGCAUUGGUUCGAGUAAAGCCUGAGUAAAAAGACACGUAGGACAAUAGAAAUUAAUUUUAGUAUCAUGUGAUGUUUUAUUUUUAUACUUUUUAAUCUUUGUGCCUUAUAUUUGUUAUUUGUUUUAAUAAUAACAGCAAAAUGUAUCAAAUAUGUAAAUAAACAACAAUCGAAAACUUA
Molecule: long non-coding RNA, 496 nt
Organism: Diabrotica virgifera virgifera (western corn rootworm)
Lineage: Eukaryota; Metazoa; Arthropoda; Insecta; Coleoptera; Chrysomelidae
Exons: 2
Source: RefSeq, a predicted model, not a curated record